UACGAAGGGGACUAGCGUUGUUCGGAAUCACUGGGCGUAAAAGCGCACGUAGGCGGAUAUGUCAGUCAGGGGUGAAAUCCCGGGGCUCAACCUCGGAACUGCCCUUGAUACAGCAUAUCUUGAGUCCGAUAGAGGUGGGUGGAAUUCCUAGUGUAGAGGUGAAAAUUCGUAGAUAUUAGGAAAGAACACCGGUGGCGAAGGCGGCCCACUGGAUCGGUACUGACGCUGAGGUGCGAAAGCGUGGGGAGCAAACAGG
This 256-nucleotide ribosomal RNA is filed under the name uncultured bacterium. RNAcentral's name for it is "partial 16S ribosomal RNA". It matches the Rfam family "Bacterial small subunit ribosomal RNA", at positions 524 to 776 of the family's 1533-position model. The record is from RNAcentral.